Molecule: ribosomal RNA, 255 nt
Filed under: uncultured bacterium
Lineage: Bacteria
Description: partial 16S ribosomal RNA
Rfam family: Bacterial small subunit ribosomal RNA
Source: RNAcentral
UACGUAGGGACCAAGCGUUGUUCGGAUUUACUGGGCGUAAAGGGCGCGUAGGCGGCGUGACAAGUCACUUGUGAAAUCUCUGGGCUUAACCCAGAACGGCCAAGUGAAACUGUUGUGCUAGAGUGCAGAAGGGGCAAUCGGAAUUCUCGGUGUAGCGGUGAAAUGCGUAGAGAUGUGGAGGAAUACCGAUGGCGAAGGCAGCCCCCUGGGAUAACACUGACGCUCAUGCACGAAAGGCGUGGGGAGCAAACAAGG